Molecule: ribosomal RNA, 381 nt
Filed under: Burkholderia sp. BV49
Lineage: Bacteria; Pseudomonadati; Pseudomonadota; Betaproteobacteria; Burkholderiales; Burkholderiaceae
Description: bacterial SSU rRNA
Rfam family: Bacterial small subunit ribosomal RNA
Source: RNAcentral
AAGUCUGCUGAGAGGUGGAUGUGCCCGAAAGGGAGCCAUAACACAGGUGCUGCAUGGCUGUCGUCAGCUCGGGUCGUGAGAUGUUGGGUUAAGUCCCGCAACGAGCGCAACCCUUGUCCCUAGUUGCUACGCAAGAGCACUCCAGGGAGACUGCCGGUGACAAACCGGAGGAAGGUGGGGAUGACGUCAAGUCCUCAUGGCCCUUAUGGGUAGGGCUUCACACGUCAUACAAUGGUCGGAACAGAGGGUCGCCAACCCGCGAGGGGGAGCCAAUCCCAGAAAACCGAUCGUAGUCCGGAUCGCACUCUGCAACUCGGGUGCGUGAAGCUGGAAUCGCUAGUAAUCGCGGAUCAGCAUGCCGCGGUGAAUACGUUCCCGGGU